GACGAACGCUGGCGGCGUGCUUAACACAUGCAAGUCGAACGGGCCUUGUCCCCUUUUUUUUUGGGGGGGGGGUUAGUGGCGAACGGGUGAGUAACACGUGAGUAACCUGCCCCUCACUUCUGGAUAACCGCUUGAAAGGGUGGCUAAUACGGGGUGUUCUGGCCUGCUCGCAUGGGUGGGUUUGGAAAGAUUCGACCGGUGUUGGUUGUUUUGGUGGGGGAUGGGCUCGCGGCCUAUCAGCUUGUUGGUGGGGUGAUGGCCUGCCAAGGCUUUGACGGGUAGCCGGCCUGAGAGGGUGGGCGGUCACACUGGGACUGAGACGCGGCCCAGACUCCUACGGGAGGCAGCAGUGGAGAAUAUUGCACAAUGGGCGCAAGCCUGAUGCAGCGACGCCGCGUGAGGGAUGGAGGCCUUCGGGUUGUGAACCUCUUUCGCCAGUGAAGAAGGUCCUGCUCUUUGUGGUGGGGUUGACGGUAGCUGGGUUAAUGAAGCGCCGGCUAACUACGUG
RNAcentral lists this ribosomal RNA (508 nucleotides) under uncultured bacterium. RNAcentral's name for it is "partial 16S ribosomal RNA". It matches the Rfam family "Bacterial small subunit ribosomal RNA", at positions 28 to 507 of the family's 1533-position model. The record is from RNAcentral.